GAUGAACGCUGGCGGCAGGCCUAACACAUGCAAGUCGAGCGACAACACAAGUAGCUUUCCCCUCUGACGUUCGCCGCGCGCGGGUGAGUCACACGUGGAUAAUCUACCUAUAAGACUGGUAUCACUUCGGGAAACCGGCUCUAACACCGUAUAACAUAUGGAACCGCAUGGUUCAAUAGUGAAAGACGGUUUUGCUGUCACUUAUAGAUGGAUCCGCUCCGCAUUAGCUAGUUGGUUAGGUAACGAAUUACCAAGGCAACGAUGCGUAGCCGACCUGAGUGGGUGAUCAGCCACACUGGAACUGAGACGCGGUCCAGACCCCUACGGGAGGCAACAGAAGGGAAACUUACGCAAUGGGCGGGAGCCUGACGGAGCAACGCCGAGUGAGGGAAGAAGGUCUGCGGAUAGUAAAACUAUGUUAUUAGGGAAGAACAAAUGUGUAAGUGACGUUGCACGUCUUGAAGGUACCUAAUCAGAAAGCCACGGCUAACUACGUG
RNAcentral lists this ribosomal RNA (497 nucleotides) under uncultured bacterium. Its description in RNAcentral is "partial 16S ribosomal RNA". It matches the Rfam family "Bacterial small subunit ribosomal RNA", at positions 28 to 507 of the family's 1533-position model. The record is from RNAcentral.